GAUGAACGCUAGCAGCAGGCUUAACACAUGCAAGUCGAGGGGUAUAGUUCUUCGGAAUUAGAGACCGGCGCACGGGUGCGUAACGCGUAUGCAAUCUACCUUUCACAGAGGGAUAGCCCAGAGAAAUUUGGAUUAAUACCUCAUAGUAUAGCAGUUUCGCAUGAAACCACUAUUAAAGUCACAACGGUGAAAGAUGAGCAUGCGUCCCAUUAGCUAGUUGGUAAGGUAACGGCUUACCAAGGCAACGAUGGGUAGGGUCCUGAGAGGGAGAUCCCCCACACUGGUACUGAGACACGGACCAGACUCCUACGGGAGGCAGCAGUGAGGAAUAUUGGACAAUAGG
RNAcentral lists this ribosomal RNA (343 nucleotides) under uncultured bacterium. RNAcentral describes it as "bacterial SSU rRNA". It matches the Rfam family "Bacterial small subunit ribosomal RNA", at positions 28 to 375 of the family's 1533-position model. The record is from RNAcentral.